Molecule: long non-coding RNA, 731 nt
Organism: Esox lucius (northern pike)
Lineage: Eukaryota; Metazoa; Chordata; Actinopteri; Esociformes; Esocidae
Exons: 3
Source: RefSeq, a predicted model, not a curated record
CAAGACCAACAGAUCAAGAAAAUUCUAAGGUAGUUAGGAUUUUAUGUCAGUCACCACCAGUAGAACUACAGAAGCUACACUCGGUUACCCUAAAAAAGAUGGCCUUCCUAAAAAAUAAAGUGUAGUUCUGAAAAAAGGAUAUGACAAAGACUAACAUGUACCAGAGUGAUGGCAAUAUCAACGAGCAUGCAAGUCAGGUGCUGAAGACAAAUUGAAGGCAAAAAAUCCCUAAAACAAGCAGGAUUUGAAGACAGCUGCAGUGCAGGCCUGACAGAGCAUCGCCAGGAAGGUACCCAACGUUUGAUGUCUAUGGCUCGCAGACAUCAGGCAGUCAUUACAUGCAAAUGUUGAAGGCAUAUAGGAGCCCCAGCACGCCGGCGGGGAACCUGCAGACUAGGGAUGGCCAAUGCACUCUUCAUCAUCUCAGCUGACGAGGCAAUGACCUGGAAGCAAUUUGGUUUCACCUUGUUGGCCCAGGGAAUAGAAUCAGCCGCUUUUGGUUUACUGGUCCUAUUCUUGACCACUUGGCUACCCUGCUGCCCCAUGUGUGGGACGGAAUUGGCAUGUCUGACCUGGGAGGAGCAAAACUCUGUGUAUGCUAAAAACAUACUCUUAGCUUCCUUCUCCUUGCAGAUCAGCACAACUGAGAGAGAGGAAGUUACUCCAGACGAUUUAGAUACACUCUGGACUAGGUUAGAUAAUUCAUGAUUUGAAAAAGCUCUAUUAAAAUG